This 917-nucleotide long non-coding RNA is filed under the name Androctonus crassicauda. The record is from RNAcentral. Lineage: Eukaryota; Metazoa; Arthropoda; Arachnida; Scorpiones; Buthidae.
GUUUAAUAAUUAAACUGUAAUUUUUACUAAUUUCCUGAAAUUAAAAAUUUCCUUUGGCAUGGAGUCGAACCAGGAUCUUUGGGUUACCCUCCUGAAGAUCCUGAUUUGAAUAAAAAACCAAAAAUAUCUAUAACUCUUUAUCUAGGCUAUGUUGUUGUUGUUUUCAUUUUGUAGUCUCAACUAGAUAGAGUGGAAAGUUUAACACAAUACUUUACAGUGCCAACAAUGGGACUUAUGCUAGUAUUUGAAUAACAAAGCUUUCACAAAGUAAUUUUCUAAAAAACUUCUUGAGUGCCAAUAAUAAUUUUUGAAACAAAUUUUCCAAAAACUGACAUAUAUCCCUAUCAUCAUACUAGCAUGGUCAGAUGAUCCUCAAGAUUACAGAAGUAGCAUUUAAGUCUUUUUUUCAAAGAGUACUUAUACACUAUACUCCAUGGCUUUGUAAUCAAAGCCAAGAUGGAAGAAUGCAAUACUAUUUACAAACUUUUCAUAUCAAUGGCCAUUUGAAAUAUCAACAGUGGAUCAUCUUUGAAAGCCUCAAUUAUAUCAGAUUUAAUAUUAUUUUGACUUAUCUGAUAGAUAAUGCUAUUUAAAACAUGGUGAAUACAAAGGCAGAAUAUCCCUGAUUUAGUUACAAAAUGACUUUCUUUGUUGUCUUAUGAAUGUUGAUUACAUUUCCUAUUGGUGAGCAUGCUUAUCAUUUUGUGCAGUUCAGUCAUCUUGAUGUGCAACUGUAUAGUUUCUGACAAAACAAUAAGCUAUGAAUUCCACUUUUGUGAUCACAAAAUGUCUAUUGUUUGCCACUUCUUGCAGAAUAAACUUGCCAAAGCAAGUGUAUAAGUGUAUCAAAGUAUGUGGAAUUAGUCAGAUGAAUAUUUGCUUUAUUUGAGUGUAUCCAGCCCAGCAUCUAGAUCGGA